UGACGUUUCAAAAGAAAAUUUAUCCAAAAAAGAAUUUAAAUAUAUCCAAAGCAGACAGAAAAGUACAAUUAAUCUCUGUACUUUUUGUUUUGUUCUUGUUGAAUCUAGAUUCAACAAUUAUUAAGAUUUGAAAAUGUCAUGUUUUGAAAUUCCUCCCUCUAAUGACUGUACAUUUCUCUAUGGAAAAAACACAAUUUCUGAAAUAAUAUGUGAGUUAAAUGGAACAAAUUAAUAGUAGUCAUGUAUUAUUCAGGACAUAUUUACUGUAUUCCUCACAUGUUUCAGGCACCGUGCUAAGUGUUGGCCUGGGAUGGUGAAGAAGACAGACACCUCUCUGUCCUAGGAGAGAUCUAUUUGCAUCGUCACAACCAAGGAUGUCUCAGGAAGAUUCACAGAGAGGCCCUCUGAAGAAUCAAAAAUCACCCAAGAAAGAAUCACCUUUAAACAUCUGGCAGACCCGGAAAAAUGAAGCUCUCUUAUACUCGUACCAGCUGGCAAGACUAGACCGCUUCCCUUGUCUUUUAUCCUUCCUCCUUUACCAA
Molecule: long non-coding RNA, 542 nt
Filed under: Vulpes vulpes (red fox)
Lineage: Eukaryota; Metazoa; Chordata; Mammalia; Carnivora; Canidae
Description: lncRNA (ENSVVUG00000002664.1)
Source: RNAcentral